Long non-coding RNA from Gopherus evgoodei (Goodes thornscrub tortoise), 477 nucleotides. RefSeq lists it as uncharacterized. The transcript is spliced from 4 exons. The record is from RefSeq and is a predicted model, not a curated record. NCBI's taxonomy places the organism in Eukaryota, Metazoa, Chordata, Testudines, Testudinidae.
AUUGUUUUCCAGGUAUAUGCAUCUGGAUAGUCAGAGUAACGUCGUGGUAUACCAGCUAGGCCUAAGAAAUGUUGAGGGGGAAAAAGGUUAUAUUAACUCCUGCAAAUAUUACUCCGAAAUGAACUUUUGCUCAAAUUUGGUGUAAUGAGUAUCCAGUGAAAAGUGAGAAUUAAUGGAAAAAGAAGGAAACAUAAGGGUUAUGUGAUUGGCUUGAAACUAAUUUAAGGGGGUUUGAUUCCCUCCUUUCUUGGGUUUGUACAUGGGCUGGUUCUUCAUAAGUGUGAUAUGGGACUGGGCAGCCAUGCAAUCACUCUACAUUAGUAGUUGUGAGUUCAACUGUUAUUACUUUUCGUUUUGAAGAAAAUGCUUCUCAGAUAAUGAAUAUUAUUAUGAUUACUGUUACUAGAGAGAUUUGAGAUCCGAUUGAUGAAAUAGAAUUUUCCAGGAUAGAUAGUAAGCAUCUGGCUAGUCAGAGUA